UACGGGGGGGGCAAGCGUUGCUCGGAAUUACUGGGCGUAAAGGGCUCGUAGGCGGCCAACUAAGUCAGACGUGAAAUCCCUCGGCUUAACCGGGGAACUGCAUCUGAUACUGGAUGGCUUGAGUUCGGGAGAGGGAUGCGGAAUUCCAGGUGUAGCGGUGAAAUGCGUAGAUAUCUGGAGGAACACCGGUGGCGAAGGCGGCAUCCUGGACCGACACUGACGCUGAGGAGCGAAAGCCAGGGGAGCAAACGGG
This 253-nucleotide ribosomal RNA is filed under the name uncultured bacterium. RNAcentral's name for it is "partial 16S ribosomal RNA". It matches the Rfam family "Bacterial small subunit ribosomal RNA", at positions 524 to 776 of the family's 1533-position model. The record is from RNAcentral.